Molecule: long non-coding RNA, 1248 nt
Filed under: Canis lupus familiaris (dog)
Lineage: Eukaryota; Metazoa; Chordata; Mammalia; Carnivora; Canidae
Description: lncRNA (ENSCAFG00040002497.1)
Source: RNAcentral
UGAGGUAUUAUUUAUAUCUGGUGUCAGGUGGGUGCCAGAUUCAUUCUGUUCAGUGUGGAAACCCAGCUGUGCCGGCGCCACCUGUUGAAGAGACUACUGUCCUCGGUGAGCAGGCUCGGUUCCGGAUAAGCAGCCGUGGAGGCAAGCGUAGGUUAUACCUGGACCGGCUGCCGCUCCCUCCGUCCCCUGGACUCACUAGUCUUGUGCAAGGCUGCUCUGGUGUGCUCACGGGAGCUUUGGUAUAGAUUUUGGAAUCAAGAGUCCUCUAACUUUGUUAUUUUCCAAGGUCGUUUUGGCCUUUCAGGGUCUACUGCAAUACCCCACGGGUGUGAGGCUCACCCUCUUCGUUGCCGCAAAGAAGACCGUUGGGAUUUCGGGGUGGGUUGCGCGGACUCUGCAGGUCACGUCGAGUACUAUUGACGUAAUAACAACAUCACGCCUUCCUUCUUACAAACGGGAUGCCUUUCUCCUUGUUUAGAUUUACUUCAUUUCAGCGGUGCUGGUGGUUUUCAGCCUACAGAUGGUUUGCUGCCUUGGUUAGGCUUACUGCUAAGCAUUUUAUUCUUUUAGAUGCUACUGCAAACGCAGCCCUCCCCCACCUGUGACGGGGGUCCCUCCCUCUGGGGUACAGCUCUCAGAGUUGUCCACGCUGAGCUGUACACACUUCAUCACGGUGCAGGUUUCCUGCCCUGGUUCGGGUUCCCGAGGUGGUUUCUACUUGUGAGUCUCUGUUCUGGCACACAGUGAGAGAGAGAGGCAGAGACAUAGGCAGAGGGAGAAGCAGGCUCCAUGCACCGGGAGCCCGACGUGGGACUCAAUCCCGGGUCUCCAGGAUCGCACCCUGGGCCAAAGGCAGGCGCCAAACCGCUGCGCCACCCAGGGAUCUCUUGGGAUAUUUUUGAAUAAACAUUCAGUGUUCUUACUAGUAAUUUGUUCAGACUCUACUUUUCUUGAUUCAGUUUUAGUAGGUUGUAUGUUUCUAGAAUUCCAAUUACUUGACAUAUAACUGUUCUUGACAGUUACAUGAUUUCCAAUUACUUGACAUAUAACUGUUCUUGGUAGUCUCUUUUCAUCCUUCGUAUUUCUGUAGUGUCAGUUGUUAUGUCUCCUCUUUCAUUUGUAAUUUUGUUGAUUUGGUUCUUUUUUAAUGAUUAGUCCAGCUAAAUGUUUGCCAAUUUUGUUUAUCUUUUCAAAGAACCAACUCAUAGUUUUGUUCAUCUUUCCUAUUGUUUCCUGUUCUCUACUUUA